This 490-nucleotide ribosomal RNA is filed under the name uncultured bacterium. RNAcentral describes it as "partial 16S ribosomal RNA". It matches the Rfam family "Bacterial small subunit ribosomal RNA", at positions 29 to 507 of the family's 1533-position model. The record is from RNAcentral.
AGUGAACGCUGGCGGCAGGCCUAACACAUGCAAGUCGAACGGCAGCACAAGAGAGCUUGCUCUCUGGGUGGCGAGUGGCGGACGGGUGAGGAAUGCAUCGGAAUCUGCCCAUUUGUGGGGGAUAACCUCGGGAAACCGGGACUAAUACCGCAUACGACCUACGGGUGAAAGCAGGGGAUCUUCGGACCUUGCGCAGAUGGAUGAGCCGAUGCCGGAUUAGCUAGUUGGAGGGGUAAAGGCCCACCAAGGCGACGAUCCGUAGCUGGUCUGAGAGGAUGAUCAGCCACACUGGAACUGAGACACGGCCCAGACUCCUACGGGAGGCAGCAGUGGGGAAUAUUGGAAAAUGGGCGCAAGCCUGAUCCAGCCAUGCCGCGUGUGUGAAGAAGGCCUUCGGGUUGUAAAGCACUUUUGUUGGGAAAGAAAAGCAGCCGGUUAAUACCCGGUUGUCAUGACGGUACCCAAAGAAUAAGCACCGGCUAACUUCGUG